CUGGGUGAGGUCGAGUGACAGGUCGAGUAACAGAAAGAAAGUAUAACAGGGAUACUCGACUGCACAGUCUGUUGCCAGACAACUGGGUGGUCGAGUAUCAGGUCGAGUAAGAGUAAAGAAUUGGAGAAACUAAGCAACAGAUAACAAGAUGCAGUAGACGACAAUAGAGUAAACAAAGAAUUCAAUCAGAUAAAGAAUUCCCGAGGAUGGGGUAAUUGAGUAUUUUCGUUUUCUCAGUUUACAGGUGAUCGACAUGCUCAAUAAAUUAACCCUAGACAACAAGUUCAUUAACCAAAUCUAAGUGCCACCGCAACAGAGACUCUCAAGUUAACCUAGUCCUAGACUCAAUCACCAUUGACGAGAGCUAACCUAACAGACAUUACAAAUCAACAAGUUAAAGCCAAAACGCUCCCUGCAACCAAUACCUUGGUACAGGGUCACGAAUCUCUGGAAUUAGUGGUUCAGACAUUUCAUCGAACACCUUUUGGGCGCGGAAAUGUCUUGGCUCAAAUUCCAGUUGAUCAGAAAGCAAUAGGCAUUAAGAACAACUAAUCCAGAAGGGAUCUAUCAACCAAUACUCAAUCACCUAGCAUACUGAGAAUUCUACACUACUCUAACCCAUCCUCAGAAACCUAUUCACUACUCAGACAUCAUAACAGAAAGCAUAAACGUUGAACAAGUUGAAAACAUGAUAACAAUAGUGUAACAGCAGGAUGAAAACAGAAUGAACAACAGUAAACGAAAUGAAGAACAGAAACUGAAUACUGAAUACUGAAUAGAUAAAGAGAAAUCCGGAUUACAAAAGGUCUAGAACACAAGGUCUGCGGAAUAAAACUAGACA
This 841-nucleotide small RNA is filed under the name Arabidopsis thaliana (thale cress). RNAcentral describes it as "ATSL202550". Lineage: Eukaryota; Viridiplantae; Streptophyta; Magnoliopsida; Brassicales; Brassicaceae. The record is from RNAcentral.